This 253-nucleotide ribosomal RNA is filed under the name uncultured bacterium. Its description in RNAcentral is "partial 16S ribosomal RNA". It matches the Rfam family "Bacterial small subunit ribosomal RNA", at positions 524 to 776 of the family's 1533-position model. The record is from RNAcentral.
UACAGAGGUCUCAAGCGUGGUUCGGAUUCAUUGGGCGUAAAGGGUGCGUAGGUGGCGCCGUAAGUCAGGUGUGAAAUUUCGGAGCUUAACUCCGAAACUGCAUUUGAUACUGCGGUGCUUGAGGACUGGAGAGGAGACUGGAAUUCACGGUGUAGCAGUGAAAUGCGUAGAUAUCGUGAGGAAGAGCAGUGGCGAAGGCGGGUCUCUGGACAGUUCCUGACACUGAGGCACGAAGGCCAGGGGAGCAAACGGG